Long non-coding RNA from Macaca mulatta (Rhesus monkey), 2405 nucleotides. The record is from Ensembl. NCBI's taxonomy places the organism in Eukaryota, Metazoa, Chordata, Mammalia, Primates, Cercopithecidae.
GAACAUUUCAAGAAAGUUUACGAACUUGUGUUGGGGUACAUUCAAAGCAGUCUGGGGCCGCAUGCAGCCCGCAGGCCACAGGCUGAACAAGCUCGCUCUGAAGUCUUUUAAACAACAGCUGGAAAAUUCUUGAACGAGCCCAGGGGAAAUCUCCAGGGUUUCAGGAAGCUGACGAUGCAAGCUUAUCCAAAUGGAAAACGUUUAACGCUGCGGGUUGGAGCAAAUGAUCAGGCAAACAAAAAAAGCCAUCGUGUUGCACUGGCUCAAAGAGACUUUGUUGAAAAGAAUUACACUAUUCUCAGUGAACGAUUAAUUUUACAGUGGGGAGGGGGAAUUCCAGAGAGUGCAGAGCAGAAAAAAGGAAUCUCAAACUCUCCAUUUGCAACCUCUGGAAAAAACAUUUUCUCACUGCCAAGGGAAAUACCACUCAGAAUACACUCCUUCAGAUGAGUGGAUUUACCCAGAAAACACAAGCAGAUUCUUUCUUUUCUUUUUUUCUUUUUUUUGAGACAGGGUCUUGCUUUGUCACCCAGGAUGGAGUACAGUGGUGGGAUCAUGGCUCACUCCAGCCUUGACCUCCAAGCAAUCCUUCUGCCUCAGCCUCCUAAGCAGCUGAGACGAUAGGUAACCUCAGGAAGAAAACUGGAGUCUUUGGACGAGAAGCAUUAAGUAAUCAGAAUGACCACUGACAUCAAUGGAGCGCUUUCAGUGUUCUGGGAGCUGUGCUAAAAGCUUUACAGCUACUCCCUCAUUUCUUCCCACUACAACCUAUUGAGGUAGGCACUGCUAUCCUCACUUUACAGAUGAGGAAACUGAGGCACAGAGAGGUUAAGUCACCUGGUCAAGGUUACACAGCUAGUGAAAGGAAGGCUGGGGUUUGAGUCCUGGCCUAAAUUCAAGACCCAGGUGCCCAAACACCAACAGUCAUGCUGUCUGCGGGUUGCUUCUGUCCUGGUCACAAUGGAUUAAUAAACUAACGAUGUAAGAAGCCCAAGCCAAGGCACUUCCAGCCUUUGGCUCAGGGGAAAUUCAAAAGCCAAAAGCUUGGCAAUCCCUUCCUUGGAUUAUGUUUAAUUCCAGGCCUCCCAAAGGCAAGAAGAAUGACCUUGAUGAUGCUUGAAGGUGGGUCCCCGAGACCUCCACAUGGGAGGAGCGCCGGCCGUAGCAGAUGCCACCAUAGAUACCUGCUGGUUCUGUAGUCCAGCUUCUCUUGUCCAUUGGGAGACUGGCCCUCCGCAAUCCUGCUGCUGCUUCUGGAGGGAAUGUCAAUCACAGGACCCUAGUUCCUCGCCAGUGUGGCCCACAGGAAUGAGCAUGUGACUCAAGCUGGGCCAAUCAGAGCCUUCCAUGAGAUUUGAGAUGGAAAAGCAUCCCUUAGAGAGUGUGAAUCCUGAAGUUAUAGGCUCCGGGCUGCUGGCAGCCAUCUUUCCCGCCAGAUGGAAGAAAGAAUGAGGUCAGCAUGCAAAGAGAUGCAGAGUCAAGAGGCCUGGGUGCAGUUGAGAGGCCUGAAGACAUUAAGCUCCUGGAUCCAGCCAUACCUGAAGCAGCAGCCACCUUCAGCCAUCCCCAAUACAGGACCCAGGGAAUUUGCUUUGUUGCUUAAGCCAGUUUGGGCUGGUUUUUCCCUAGGGAGAGAGCUCUCUCAAGGCAGAACUGAAAGGGCCUGAGGUUCCUCACCCCCACUGUUAAGGGUGGACAGCUGAUGGCACACACCCCCUGCCUCUGGAACAGGCAGCUCCAGCUUCCUCCAGUAAAAGUCUUCUGCGUCCUUCUCUGGGGCUACACAAUAAAUGUAUGAAGACUGCCAGGGCAGCUUAUCCCAGCAUACUUGUAGGAUAACAUCUAGUUUUUAAGAGAAAAGCUGGAAAUUCACUUAAAGACAGUUGAAAAUAUUGCAAGUUGCUCUCAGCAAUAAAUGCCCAGUGACAUGGGAGCCAUUAGUUUUGAGAACGUCUCCUUCCAAUCAGUCUGUCUCUUAUGCACACAUGUGCACACACACCUUGACGCAGGGUGCAAAGCAAUCUAUUUUGUUCAGAUACCUGAGAAGCAGACAGAGAGCCAACAGGAAGGUGGGCGAGGCUGUCUCCCAGCAGGAAGAAGGAUGUGUCUGAAAAGAUGACCGUUUCUCUCUGCCCUGGGUUUGGGGUUGAGGCUGGCAUGGAGAUAAGUCUCCUGGCCCUGCAUGCUGAGCCUGCAUAAAGAUGAUUCUUGUGGCCACAAAACCACCCCUUGGCUCAGUUACUCCGUCACAGAUGAGCCCCAACUCUAAGCAAGGCCAGGAGACAAGGGUACCAGCCACUGCUGACAGAGCCAUGUCAGUGAGGCUCCUGUCACGCAGGUCAUGAGGAUGUGUAAUGUGCGCUGGGUGCAAGUUAAUGGGGUAGGGACUAGAGUGGCCCGCUCCA